RNAcentral lists this microRNA precursor (101 nucleotides) under Brachypodium distachyon (stiff brome). RNAcentral's name for it is "mir-399 microRNA precursor family". It matches the Rfam family "mir-399 microRNA precursor family". Rfam says of the family: mir-399 was identified in both Arabidopsis thaliana and Oryza sativa computationally and was later experimentally verified. mir-399 is thought to target mRNAs coding for a phosphatase transporter. The mature sequence is excised from the 3' arm of the hairpin. The record is from Rfam by way of RNAcentral. Lineage: Eukaryota; Viridiplantae; Streptophyta; Magnoliopsida; Poales; Poaceae.
AGUUCAGUUUCAGGGCUCCUCUCUCUUGGCAGGGAACAUGUGAAGUCAUGCACCUCUAUCCAGCCCUCUCUGCCAAAGGAGAGUUGCCCUGUAACUGAACC